GAGAACUUACCAGACCAUGCUGGUUCAUGCUUCGGGAACUCUGAGACCGGUGCUGUAUGGCUGUCGUCAGCUCGUGUUGUGAAAUGUUGGGUUAAGUCCCGCAACGAGCGCAACCCUUAUCCUUUGUUGCCAGCGGUUCGGCCGGGAACUCAAAGGAGACUGGCAGUGAUAAACUGGAGGAAGGUGGGGAUGACGUCAAGUCAUCAUGGCCCUUACGAGUAGGGCUACACACGUGCUACAAUGGCGCAUACAAAGAGAAGCGACCUCGCGAGAGCAAGCGGACCUCAUAACAGUGCGUCGUAGUGCCGGAUUGGAGUCUGCAACUCGACUCCAUGAAGUCGGAAUCGCUAGUAAUCGUAGAUCAGAAUGCUACGGUGGAAUACGUCCCGGGGUCUUGUACA
RNAcentral lists this ribosomal RNA (401 nucleotides) under Enterobacter sp. LGI-P4RK. RNAcentral describes it as "bacterial SSU rRNA". It matches the Rfam family "Bacterial small subunit ribosomal RNA", at positions 991 to 1387 of the family's 1533-position model. Lineage: Bacteria; Pseudomonadati; Pseudomonadota; Gammaproteobacteria; Enterobacterales; Enterobacteriaceae. The record is from RNAcentral.